Molecule: ribosomal RNA, 443 nt
Filed under: uncultured bacterium
Lineage: Bacteria
Description: bacterial SSU rRNA
Rfam family: Bacterial small subunit ribosomal RNA
Source: RNAcentral
CCUACGGGGGGCAGCAGUUGGGAAUAUUGGACAAUGGAGGGAACUCUGAUCCAGUGACGCCGCGUGAAGGAAGAAGGUCUUCGGAUUGUAAACUUAUUUUAUCAGGGAAGAAAAAAAUGACAGUACCUGAAGAAGAAGGACCGGCUAACUACGUGCCAGCAGCCGCGGUAAUACGUAGGGUCCGAGCGUUAUCCGGAUUUACUGGGUGUAAAGGGCGAGUAGACGGAACUGCAAGUCAGAUGUGAAAUGCUAGAGCUCAACUUUAGAACUGCAUCUGAAACUGUGGAACUAGAGUGCAGGAGAGGUAAGCGGAAUUCCUAGUGUAGCGGUGAAAUGCGUAGAUAUUAGGAGGAACACCAGUGGCGAAGGCGGCUUACUGGACUGUAACUGACGUUGAGGCGCGAAAGUGUGGGGAGCAAACAGGAUUAGAUACCCGAGUAGUC